CCUACGGGUGGCAGCAGUGAGGAAUAUUGGUCAAUGGGCGGGAGCCUGAACCAGCCAAGUCGCGUGAGGGAAGACGGUCCUAUGGAUUGUAAACCUCUUUAGGCGGGGAGCAAUGCCGGGCACGCGUGCCCGGAGGGAGAGUACCCGCAGAAUAAGCAUCGGCUAAAUCCGUUCCAGCAGCCGCGGUAAUACGGAGGAUGCGCGCGUUAUCCGGAUUUAUGGGGUUUAAAGGGUGCGUAGGCGGAUUUUUAAGUCAGCGGUAAAAUGUCCGGGCUCAACCCGGGCCGGCCGUUGAUACUGGAGAUCUUGAGUGGGCGAGAAGUAUGCGGAAUGCGUGGUGUAGCGGUGAAAUGCAUAGAUAUCACGCAGAACUCCGAUUGCGAAGGCAGCAUACCGGCGCCCGACUGACGCUGAGGCACGAAAGCGUGGGGAUCGAACAGGAUUAGAUACCCGGGUAGUC
RNAcentral lists this ribosomal RNA (460 nucleotides) under uncultured bacterium. RNAcentral describes it as "partial 16S ribosomal RNA". It matches the Rfam family "Bacterial small subunit ribosomal RNA", at positions 338 to 795 of the family's 1533-position model. The record is from RNAcentral.